GAUGAAGAACGCAGUGAAAUGCGAUAAGUAGUGUGAAUUGCAGAAUUCAGUGAAUCAUCGAAUCUUUGAACGCACAUUGCGCCCCUUGGUAUUCCAUGGGGCAUGCCUGUUCGAGCGUCAUUUGUACCUUCAAGCUCUGCUUGGUGUUGGGAGUUUGUCUCGCCUCUGCGUGUAGACUCGCCUCAAAACAAUUGGCAGCCGGCGUAUUGAUUUCGGAGCGCAGUACAUCUCGCGCUUUGCACUCAUAACGACGACGUCCAAAAGUACAUUUUUACACUCUUGACCUCGGAUCAGGUAGGGAUACCCGCUGAACUUAAGCAUAUCAAUAAGCGGAGGA
Molecule: unclassified non-coding RNA, 337 nt
Filed under: soil metagenome
Description: partial contains 5.8S ribosomal RNA, internal transcribed spacer 2, and large subunit ribosomal RNA
Rfam family: 5.8S ribosomal RNA (bases 1-120)
Source: RNAcentral